AGUAAGGAAAAGGCGUGGGUUUUGGAGGUGGACACCUCACCCCAAAUUUUUAUUCUGUUACACCCUCAAGCAAGGGAUCACAUAUCUGAUCCUGCCUCACCCUCGGGUAAGAAGGAAAUAGGGGGAGAGGCUCAGCUAAGCCUCCCAACUUCUUCCUUCUCCCUCAGUCUGUAAGUACACUGUUCACGACCAGUGUGCCAUGAAAGCCCUGCCUUGUGAAGUCAGCACCUAUGCCAAGUCUCGGAAGGACAUUGGUGUCCAAUCACAUGUGUGGGUGCGAGGAGGCUGUGAGUCCGGGCGCUGCGACCGCUGUCAGAAAAAGAUCCGGAUCUACCACAGUCUGACGGGGCUGCAUUGUGUAUGGUGCCACCUAGAGGUCAGUUUGGGAGCCAUCCAUUCUGGGUACGUCUUACGGCCCCGCAGAGCUGCCUUCUCCACCGGCUUCCCAGCCACACCU
RNAcentral lists this small RNA (457 nucleotides) under Pongo abelii (Sumatran orangutan). RNAcentral's name for it is "retained intron". The record is from RNAcentral. Lineage: Eukaryota; Metazoa; Chordata; Mammalia; Primates; Hominidae.